RNAcentral lists this long non-coding RNA (203 nucleotides) under Elaeis guineensis (African oil palm). RNAcentral's name for it is "long non-coding RNA (EGUI_LNC013934)". The record is from RNAcentral. Lineage: Eukaryota; Viridiplantae; Streptophyta; Magnoliopsida; Arecales; Arecaceae.
GGGGACACACUUGGGUGGUGAAUAUAUUAGUUUAAAAUGUUUACAACAACUCCAAGCCCAUGGUCAUGGCCCUUCCUGUUUUACACUAGCAAAAUUAGAACUAUCACCUAGCAGAAGGACCACUUCACCACAAGCCUAAAAUAUAGGUUGUUCUUUGCCACCAAUAAAAAAAGAAAAAAGGCAAAAAUCAUGACAGAACUAAU